AUGAUACUCCCUCCGUCCCAAAUUAAGUGACUCAAAAUUGAGUCAACUUUGUACUAAAGUUAGUGUAAAGUUAAGUCAUUUUUGAGUCACUUAUUUUGGGACGGAGGGAGUAUAUU
This 116-nucleotide microRNA precursor is filed under the name Hordeum vulgare. RNAcentral's name for it is "microRNA MIR1122". It matches the Rfam family "MIR1120/MIR1122 microRNA precursor family". The record is from RNAcentral. Lineage: Eukaryota; Viridiplantae; Streptophyta; Magnoliopsida; Poales; Poaceae.